GACUGCAUCCUCUUCCGCGGUGCGUACAAGGAUCUGAAUGCAUGCCCGGUAUGCGGUGCAUUACGGUAUAAGAUCAGACGAGAUGACCCUGAUGAUGUUGACGGCGAGCCCCCCAGGAAGAGGGUUCCUGCGAAGGUGAUGUGGUAUGCUCCUAUAAUACCACGGUUGAAAUGUCUGUUCAGAAAUGGAGAGCAUGCCAAGUUGAUGCGAUGGCACAGUGAGGACCGUAAGAAAGAUGGGAAGUUGAGAGCACCCGCUGACGGGUCGCAGUGGAGAAAAAUCGAGAGAAAGUACUGGGAUGAGUUUGCAAGUGAGCCAAGGAACGUAUGGUUUGCUUUAAGCGCGGAUGGCAUUAAUCCUUUCGGGGAGCAGAGCAGCAAUCACAGCACCUGCCCCGUGACUCUAUGUAUGUAUAACCUUCCUCCUUGGAUGUGCAUUAAGCGGAAGUUCAUUAUGAUGCCAGUUCUCAUCCAAGGUCCUAAGCAACCCGGCAACGACAUUGAUGUGUACCUAAGG
Molecule: ribosomal RNA, 516 nt
Filed under: Triticum aestivum (bread wheat)
Lineage: Eukaryota; Viridiplantae; Streptophyta; Magnoliopsida; Poales; Poaceae
Description: partial small subunit ribosomal RNA
Source: RNAcentral